UAUUAUUACUAUUAUUAUUAUUAUUAUUAUAAAAAUAGAAUUUCUAAAGAACAAUGAAUAAUUAUUAUCCAGAUGAAACAUUCGACUAAACAGGAUUCAUUUGAAUAAUACAGCUGUUUAUCAACCCAGAUUUUAUAAUGGUCCCACCACAUGGAGGUUGCUGCAUAUGGAGACCCACGGGCUAAAGACUCUACUGUUAAUAUCAAUUACUUUGGAAUUAUAUAAAAUUAAUUGUAUAAUAUCAUUAUUAUAACAUAUUCAAUAAUAAUUAUUAUAAUUUGGAAAAAGAAAAAACAAUCACGAGACGAAUUACAAAUUUUUUUCUAAUCAACCAUAAUUAGAUGAAAAUUUAUGAAUCCGUUUGAUAUCGACCUACAUACCCGGU
Vespa mandarinia (Asian giant hornet) is the source of this 385-nucleotide long non-coding RNA. NCBI's taxonomy places the organism in Eukaryota, Metazoa, Arthropoda, Insecta, Hymenoptera, Vespidae. The record is from RefSeq and is a predicted model, not a curated record.